AAAUGAAUAGACGGGGGCCCGCACAAGCGGUGGAGCAUGUGGUUUAAUUCGAAGCAACGCGAAGAACCUUACCAGGUCUUGACAUCCCUUGACCACCUCAGAGAUGAGGUUUCUCUUCGGAGCAAGGAGACAGGUGGUGCAUGGUUGUCGUCAGCUCGUGUCGUGAGAUGUUGGGUUAAGUCCCGCAACGAGCGCAACCCUUGCCUUUAGUUGCCAUCAUUAAGUUGGGCACUCUAGAGGGACUGCCGGUGACAAACCGGAGGAAGGUGGGGAUGACGUCAAAUCAUCAUGCCCCUUAUGUCCUGGGCUACACACGUGCUACAAUGGUCUGCACAGAGGGAAGCGAAGCAGUGAUGUGAAGCGAAUCCCAGAAAACAGAUCUCAGUUCGGAUUGUAGGCUGCAACUCGCCUACAUGAAGGUGGAAUCGCUAGUAAUCGCAGGUCAGCAUACUGCGGUGAAUACGUUCCCGGGCCUUGUACACACCGCCCGU
RNAcentral lists this ribosomal RNA (491 nucleotides) under uncultured bacterium. Its description in RNAcentral is "bacterial SSU rRNA". It matches the Rfam family "Bacterial small subunit ribosomal RNA", at positions 903 to 1397 of the family's 1533-position model. The record is from RNAcentral.